Cordylochernes scorpioides is the source of this 81-nucleotide non-coding RNA. The record is from the annotation of a GenBank genome assembly. NCBI's taxonomy places the organism in Eukaryota, Metazoa, Arthropoda, Arachnida, Pseudoscorpiones, Chernetidae.
AGGUAAAUACACUCUUGAGAAUCGAACCCAUAAUGUUCUGCUUACCGGGCAGAUGCCAUGUCCACUAGGCUACCCUGGACC